AGUGAACGCUGGCGGCAGGCCUAACACAUGCCAGUCGAACGGCAGCACAGUAAGAGCUUGCUCUUACGGGUGGCGAGUGGCGGACGGGUGAGGAAUACAUCGGAAUCUACUUUUUCGUGGGGGAUAACGUAGGGAAACUUACGCUAAUACCGCAUACGACGUACGGGUGAAAGCAGGGGAUCUUCGGACCUUGCGUGAUUGAAUGAGCCGAUGUCGGAUUAGCUAGUUGGCGGGGUAAAGGCCCACCAAGGCGACGAUCCGUAGCUGGUCUGAGAGGAUGAUCAGCCACACUGGAACUGAGACACGGUCCAGACUCCUACGGGAGGCAGCAGUGGGGAAUAUUGGACAAUGGGCGCAAGCCUGAUCCAGCCAUACCGCGUGGGUGAAGAAGGCCUUCGGGUUGUAAAGCCCUUUUGCUGGGAAAGAAAAGCAGCAGGUUAAUACCCCGCUGUUCUGACGGUACCCAAAGAAUAAGCACCGGCUAACUUCGUG
This 492-nucleotide ribosomal RNA is filed under the name uncultured bacterium. Its description in RNAcentral is "partial 16S ribosomal RNA". It matches the Rfam family "Bacterial small subunit ribosomal RNA", at positions 29 to 507 of the family's 1533-position model. The record is from RNAcentral.